RNAcentral lists this ribosomal RNA (348 nucleotides) under Triticum aestivum (bread wheat). RNAcentral's name for it is "partial small subunit ribosomal RNA". Lineage: Eukaryota; Viridiplantae; Streptophyta; Magnoliopsida; Poales; Poaceae. The record is from RNAcentral.
AUGGUGAAAAUAAACGUCGAUGCUGCGUUUGCUGAACAAAGAGGAGUUGGAGGCUGGGGCCUAAUCUGCAGAGAUGACGCUCAAGACAUUCGUUUUGCAGCGGCUGGAGCCCAGCAUGAUCUGCAAAGCGCCCUACAAGCUGAAGCUGUUGCUCUUUCCAAGGCAGUGACUCUGGCGGAUAGGUUAGGAGUUGGGCGCGUCAUUUUUGAAACUGACUGUAUGGUCCUUAAGCAAGCAAUGAACUCAAACGACUAUGAGUUGGCGCAACUGGGUGUUUUGUUUAGUGAUAUCAGGUUCAGACUUAGGACCCAUUUCAUUGAGGCUCAUGUGGUGUAUGUGCCGAGAUAG